Molecule: ribosomal RNA, 808 nt
Filed under: uncultured euryarchaeote
Lineage: Archaea; Methanobacteriati; Methanobacteriota
Description: bacterial SSU rRNA
Rfam family: Archaeal small subunit ribosomal RNA
Source: RNAcentral
GCCAUGCUAGUUGUACGAGUUUAGACUCGUAGCAGAUAGCUCAGUAACACGUGGCCAAACUACCCUAUGGAUCCGGAUAACCUCGGGAAACUGAGGCUAAUCCGGAAUACGACUCUCAGCCUGGAAGUGGCGAGAGUCAGAAACGCUCCGGCGCCAUAGGAUGUGGCUGCGGCCGAUUAGGUAGACGGUGGGGUAACGGCCCACCGUGCCCAUAAUCGGUACGGGUUGUGAGAGCAAGAGCCCGGAGACGGUAUCUGGGACAAGAUACCGGGCCCUACGGGGCGCAGCAGGCGCGAAACCUUUACACUGCACGAAAGUGCGAUAAGGGGACUCCAAGUGCGAGGGCAUAUAGUCCUCGCUUUUCACCACCGUAAGGAGGUGGUAGAAUAAGUGCUGGGCAAGACCGGUGCCAGCCGCCGCGGUAAUACCGGCAGCACGAGUGAUGACCGCUCUUAUUGGGCCUAAAGCGUCCGUAGCUGGCCACGCAAGUCUAUCGGGAAAUCCGCGCGCUCAACGCGCGGGCGUCCGGUGGAAACUGCGUGGCUUGGGACCGGAAGAUCCAGAGGGUACGUCUGGGGUAGGAGUGAAAUCCCGUAAUCCUGGACGGACCACCGGUGGCGAAAGCGCUCUGGAAAGACGGAUCCGACGGUGAGGGACGAAAGCUCGGGUCACGAACCGGAUUAGAUACCCGGGUAGUCCGAGCUGUAAACGAUGUCUGCUAGGUGUGCCACAGGCUACGAGCCUGUGGUGUGCCGUAGGGAAGCCGUGAAGCAGACCGCCUGGGAGUACGUCCGCAGGAUGAACUUAA